RNAcentral lists this long non-coding RNA (1803 nucleotides) under Felis catus (domestic cat). RNAcentral describes it as "lncRNA (ENSFCAG00000049145.1)". The record is from RNAcentral. Lineage: Eukaryota; Metazoa; Chordata; Mammalia; Carnivora; Felidae.
GUCAAUUUCUGGAUGAUACAGAUGUCAUUUUUAUAACAACUUACAGUUUAAAAAGUUAUAGCCAAUCAUCUUUAUAGGUAUAUCUAAUCUAUUUUGUUUCAAUUUCAGGAAGCAUAUAGGAUCCAAGUCUAAUUUGUUCUUGAGUAUAGAGCAAGAUUACCUACAUGUGAAUCUGAGCAAUAGCACUUAAUAUCGGUAUGACUUCAGACAAUGUAAACUGUAGCUAAGUUUUCUCAUCUGUAAGUGGGUUGACAAUAGUAUCACUUUCACUGGCUUAUUGUGAGGAAUAAAUGUGUUGAUUAAUGAAUUACCCUAAGCUCCUGAGACUGUGCCAGGUACCCAGUAAGAAGGCAUUAAACAAUUACCGUUAUUGAUUAUAAAGAAUAUAUUGCUGGAGUCAUAGAGGUCUGAGUUAAAUUCCCAAUCCUAGAUUUAUUAAUUAAAUGACAUUGGGCAAGUUAGCAAACCUGUUUGAUCUCAGUCUUAACAUAAAUCUAAUGGGAUUGCUGUAUUAGAUAAGCGUAUCUCAUGUAACUUAUUAGCACAUGUUUUGGCACGUUUAGAUGUGUGAUAAAUGGUAGCUCAAAAAAGAAUGUAGUUAAAGGCAGACGGUAAAACAGUUGCAGGUAACUGUAAAAUACUGGAUUAAAAAAUCUAUAUAAAGACACUAAAAGGCAUUUAAAGUAAACAGAAAUGUGUAACUGGCAGGGUUUUAAAAACCUGUAACUGGAAUGUGUAAGAAUUGCGUUUACAGCUUAUGGUCCCAGGGUGAGACCCAACUCUCACAGAUAUGGCUGUGGAAAUAAAUUGCAGCCUUACUAGCUAAUGAUAUCAAGAUCAGAGCUUGGGAUUGGGAAACAGCUAGAAAUUUAAAGGAAAACUUGGACAGCACAAAACUUAGAAGUAAGACAAAUUCAGAGUGUAAACUGUCCAAAUCAUGGUUGGCUGCUGAACUACAUACGUACAGACAAGAGGCUUGAUGAAAAUUAAACAGACGCUAGAGAGAAGUCUGAAAAAUGACCUCAAACUGAAGAUGCAGCCAGUUGGUACUGACUAUGGCCAUAGCCCUGCUCUUUUUUCUCCCAGGAUAACGGGGACAGCUGUGGGUUGCUGCAUGGUGAGGACCGUGACCUCCAACCUCUUGGUAGGCUCAUAGCUUGGCUCCUUUACAAUUGCCUUCCCUGUCAUCCAUAAAUGUAUAUGUGUAUUUACAUAUCUGGUUUUAGAAACAUAUUUGCCAAUUAAAUGGAAGAUGUUCCAUCCUAUUACUGGAACCUGAGCAUAAUUAUAUCAGCUCCCUUGUAAGUCUUUCUAGCAGAGACCCAAGCAUCAAUGGUAUUUUAAACCAAUUUUCGUGAGUUUAUUAGCAGUAACUAGAGAUAGUUUUAAUAGUGAUCCUCCAUAUUAAAAUGGUCUGUAUAAUAAUGGCAUUUUAAAUUUGAACGCAUAUUUUUGUAUAUUAGGUCACUGUACACUUACUUUCCAUGUGGCUUAUUUGUGGGAGGCUGUACUUAUAAUGAUGAAAGUAUUAGAGUUAGAAAAAUCUUGGUUCUAGUGAGAGGUACUGAAAAAAUUAUUUAACUUCUCAAAACCUCAGAUUUGUCACCUUUGGUUAGCCUUGUCAGGAGGGAGGAGCAUAACAGUUAUGUAGGGAGGAUCCCUUGACUUUCUCUAGAGCAUCCCCACCCCUUUCACCUUGCUACUCUCUAUGCUAGUAUCUUGUGUUUUUUUUUCCUAGCAUUUCUCAAACCUGAUACGGUUUUCUAGAAUUACUAUCUUAUUACAUAAAGACAAUGUAAGCCC